Molecule: non-coding RNA, 735 nt
Organism: Musa acuminata subsp. malaccensis (wild Malaysian banana)
Lineage: Eukaryota; Viridiplantae; Streptophyta; Magnoliopsida; Zingiberales; Musaceae
Source: RefSeq, a predicted model, not a curated record
CUCUUCUUCUUUGUUCCACUCCGAUCGGUUUCGACGAUACGGAGACGGAGAAGGGAAGCUGGAAGGCGGAUUGCCGGAUCCAGCGGUGAUCCGUUGCUUACUGCCUUCCAAGAUGAAACCCUCGCCAGAUCAUUCGGCGAGAGGAGCAACCAGCCCUAGGACGACUGUUUUCACCCGCCCGAUCUCGAUGGUCUCUUAGCCCUCGCGCCGACGGAGGAGAAACUUGCGCUUGAGUUAGGCGAAUAUGGUGGCGUCUUCUAGAUAACGGAUAGCAGGGAGGAAGAGUAUGUUUUAUGUCAUAAAGAUCACAUGGUGUCAUGUGGAACUCAUACAGCCAUUGCGCUUCCAUUGCGGCGUUCUGUCUCCAUACCCAACAUGCCUCGCUGUUAUUCCAACGCAAACGAAGACGAUGAAGAAACCUGCUGCGCGUGCUGCCUUGGCUCCAAUGCUUCCUUCCUCCCUGAUCUGUACGAUCCUCCCUCAAGUAGCAUUUUUUUCUUCCUGAACGGGUCCACUAAAUGACAAGAAAAUGAGCUGCAGUCUCUCUGGUUGUCAUCUGUUGAAGUCGAACUAUAUUUUCAUUGAAAUUUUCAUUCUUCUCUCAAUCGUCACCACGGCAUGUAGUCUUAUAUUCUGAAAGAAAUUAGAUCCACUGUGUUAGUGCUAAAACCUGUGUUUCUUUCGGCUAACUCAACUUAUGUAGGACGAAAUCUUGGUAAAAAGUUAUUCCUUUAG